This is a long non-coding RNA of Galleria mellonella (greater wax moth), 437 nucleotides long. RefSeq lists it as uncharacterized. The transcript is spliced from 3 exons. NCBI's taxonomy places the organism in Eukaryota, Metazoa, Arthropoda, Insecta, Lepidoptera, Pyralidae. The record is from RefSeq and is a predicted model, not a curated record.
ACUUUUGUGUGCCGCCAAAUUUUAAAAGUGUGCCGCCAAAUUUUGCAAAUAUUUAAAAUUUUUGUCAUAAACUAUUUAUGCAGUGUGUGUGUGUGUGUGUGUGUAGCUGCGGCGUGCUUCUUCAGCAUGAGGUGUGUGGCAUCGCCGCCGUCGUCCAGGAUCAUGUUGGGCUGCCAGCCCGCCGCCGGCGUACAGCACUGGUCUAUGCACCACCAGAACGCCUCCUCGCUCUCGCCGCGCCACGCGAAGAUCGCGAAGCCUGUCCGGGUCAUUUAAGAAAAAAAUUCUUAUAACAAAUGACCUGCAUGUGCCAGUGCGGCCGCCACCUCGUUCUGCGUGCUGUAGAUGUUGCACGCCGCCCAGCGGACCGUAGCGCCGAGGGCCGCCAGCGUCUCUAUCAAUACGGCCGUCUGUGCGUUUAUAUGUGUGCAUCCUAC